This 466-nucleotide ribosomal RNA is filed under the name Pseudomonas sp. Z83. RNAcentral's name for it is "bacterial SSU rRNA". It matches the Rfam family "Bacterial small subunit ribosomal RNA", at positions 283 to 739 of the family's 1533-position model. Lineage: Bacteria; Pseudomonadati; Pseudomonadota; Gammaproteobacteria; Pseudomonadales; Pseudomonadaceae. The record is from RNAcentral.
GUAACGUGGUCUGAGAGGAUGAUCAGUCACACUGGAACUGAGACACGGUCCAGACUCCUACGGGAGGCAGCAGUGGGGAAUAUUGGACAAUGGGCGAAAGCCUGAUCCAGCCAUGCCGCGUGUGUGAAGAAGGUCUUCGGAUUGUAAAGCACUUUAAGUUGGGAGGAAGGGCAGUUACCGUAAUACGUGAUUGUUUUGACGUUACCGACAGAAUAAGCACCGGCUAACUCUGUGYCAGCAGCCGCGGUAAUACAGAGGGUGCAAGCGUUAAUCGGAAUUACUGGGCGUAAAGCGCGCGUAGGUGGUUUGUUAAGUUGGAUGUGAAAUCCCCGGGCUCAWCCUGGGAACUGCAUUCAAAACUGACUGACUAGAGUAUGGUAGAGGGUGGUGGAAUUUCCUGUGUAGCGGUGAAAUGYGUAGAUAUAGGAAGGAACACCAGUGGCGAAGGCGACCACCUGGACUAAUA